UGUGCAUUGGUGGGGUCCCUCGGCCUGGCCUGCACCCUCUCACAAUCCAGGACCCCUCAGGGGAUGUUGGACAGCCGGUUUAGGCCUGAUCCCCGCAGGUCAGGCCGAGGGACCCCACCAGUGCACG
RNAcentral lists this microRNA precursor (127 nucleotides) under Myotis lucifugus (little brown bat). Its description in RNAcentral is "mir-9193 microRNA precursor family". It matches the Rfam family "mir-9193 microRNA precursor family". The record is from Rfam by way of RNAcentral. Lineage: Eukaryota; Metazoa; Chordata; Mammalia; Chiroptera; Vespertilionidae.